AUUCCAAUCCCAAAAUAGUUCUGGCCUUUCCACUGGUGAUGAUGUCUAUUUGAUCACAAAACUGAAGCAUAAGAAGGUGGCUGGAAAACAAUUGAAGCAGAAGAAGAUGGCUGGUAGCAGUAAUAAACAAAACUAUGAUCGAUUUCUGGGAACCAGUGGGGGUAACUGGCAUCGUUCUGAUAAAGAUUAUAAAAUUGAGGUCGAUAGGGAUGAUUUUGUCGGGGUUCGUAAGAAAUUCUCUUACAAAAAUCUCAAAUCCAACCAACAUGGGUUAUGGCUCUUGUCUGAGUAUUCGAUCAGUUAUGAUGGUGGGAAGACUUGCUCCGAAGAUGUUAUAUGCAUCCUCAAGGACCAUAGAAAAU
RNAcentral lists this long non-coding RNA (362 nucleotides) under Linum usitatissimum (flax). Its description in RNAcentral is "long non-coding RNA (LUSI_LNC001283)". The record is from RNAcentral. Lineage: Eukaryota; Viridiplantae; Streptophyta; Magnoliopsida; Malpighiales; Linaceae.